This 115-nucleotide ribosomal RNA is filed under the name Bacillus mycoides. The record is from RNAcentral. Lineage: Bacteria; Bacillati; Bacillota; Bacilli; Caryophanales; Bacillaceae.
AAAGUCAAUAAGUUUUUUAUACACACCCGUUCCCAUACCGAACACGGAAGUUAAGCUCUCUAGCGCCGAUGGUAGUUGGGACCUUGUCCCUGUGAGAGUAGGACGUCGCCAAGCA